GUGCUCUCUUGGGCAGCACACAUACUAAAACUGGAAUGAUAUCGAUAAGUUGACACAAGAUUGCACAAGGAUGGCAUACAAAUUUGUGAAAUAUUCCAUAUUUUU
Capra hircus (goat) is the source of this 105-nucleotide small nuclear RNA. The record is from Ensembl. NCBI's taxonomy places the organism in Eukaryota, Metazoa, Chordata, Mammalia, Artiodactyla, Bovidae.